This 465-nucleotide ribosomal RNA is filed under the name uncultured bacterium. Its description in RNAcentral is "partial 16S ribosomal RNA". It matches the Rfam family "Bacterial small subunit ribosomal RNA", at positions 28 to 507 of the family's 1533-position model. The record is from RNAcentral.
GACGAACGCUGGCGGCGUGCUUAACACAUGCAAGUCGAACGGAAAGGCCCCUUCGGGGGUACUCGAGUGGCGAACAGGUGAGUAACACGUGAGUAACCUGCCCUUGACUUCGGGAUAACUUCAGGAAACUGGGGCUAAUACCGGAUAGGAAUCCUUGCUGCAUGGUGGGGGUUGGAAAGCUUCGGCGGUUUUGGAUGGACUCGCGGCUUAUCAGCUUGUUGGUGGGGUAGUGGCUUACCAAGGCUUUGACGGGUAGCCGGCCUGAGAGGGCGACCGGCCACAUUGGGACUUGGAUACGGCCCAGACUCCUACGGGAGGCAGCAGUGGGGAAUAUUGCACAAUGGGCGGGAGCCUGAUGCAGCAACGCCGCGUGCGGGAUGACGGCCUUCGGGUUGUAAACCGCUUUCAGCAGGGGCGAAGCUUGUGGUGACGGUACCUGCAGAAGAAGCACCGGCUAACUACGUG